This 557-nucleotide long non-coding RNA is filed under the name Ananas comosus (pineapple). Its description in RNAcentral is "long non-coding RNA (ACOM_LNC013635)". Lineage: Eukaryota; Viridiplantae; Streptophyta; Magnoliopsida; Poales; Bromeliaceae. The record is from RNAcentral.
AGUUUAGCAUCCAUAUAUAAAUAUGGGAAAACUCCAAUGCCACCCUUAUAAUUUCGUGCUUUCUCAUUUUAGUACCCUAUAAUUUAAAGUGUAUCACCUUAAUACUCUAUAGUUUUAUUUUUCUCUUUUCGUCAGCACCUCCGUUAACUCUUUAUUAAAUCAUAUACAAAAAAAACUUCAGAUAUCCCACCUAUGGUUUAUCAAAUAUUCCCUUUUACUAUCCUGUGGUUUACCGAAUUUUCUCUUUAGUAUCCUGUGAUUUUAACUUUGUCAUUGACUUAAUGAAAAAAAAUUAAUGGAGGGCAUAACGAAAAGAGAAAAAUAAAAAUGCAGAAUAUGAAAGUGAUACAUUUUAAAUAAUAUAGUAUUAAAGUGAGAAAGCGUGAAACCACAUGAGUGGUAUUUGAAGUUUUUUUCUAUAAAUAUUUAUUAUCGGAUGGCAAAUUAUUGCCUUAAGGAAAUGAUAAAAACUUCUAAUUUAUUUGGUUCAUAAAAGAAUCAUAAUCAAAAUUAUGUUCAAGUUGAAAUCUAAAAUAUUUAAAUUUUAUAUGAAAUUU